CCUACGGGAGGCUGCAGUGGGGAAUUUUGGACAAUGGGGGCAACCCUGAUCCAGCCAUGCCGCGUGAGUGAAGAAGGCCUUCGGGUUGUAAAGCUCUUUUGUCGGGGAGGAAAUCGCGUUGGCUAAUAUCCAACGUGGAUGACAGUACCUGAAGAAUAAGCACCGGCUAACUACGUGCCAGCAGCCGCGGUAAUACGUAGGGUGCAAGCGUUAAUCGGAAUUACUGGGCGUAAAGCGUGCGCAGGCGGUUUUUUAAGCUUGAUGUGAAAUCCCCGGGCUCAACCUGGGAACUGCAUUGAGGACUGGAAGGCUAGAGUACGGCAGAGGGGGGUGGAAUUCCACGUGUAGCAGUGAAAUGCGUAGAGAUGUGGAGGAACACCGAUGGCGAAGGCAGCCCCCUGGGCCUGUACUGACGCUCAUGCACGAAAGCGUGGGGAGCA
This 440-nucleotide ribosomal RNA is filed under the name uncultured bacterium. RNAcentral describes it as "bacterial SSU rRNA". It matches the Rfam family "Bacterial small subunit ribosomal RNA", at positions 338 to 770 of the family's 1533-position model. The record is from RNAcentral.